Chelonia mydas (Green sea turtle) is the source of this 10610-nucleotide long non-coding RNA. RefSeq lists it as uncharacterized. NCBI's taxonomy places the organism in Eukaryota, Metazoa, Chordata, Testudines, Cheloniidae. The transcript is spliced from 3 exons. The record is from RefSeq and is a predicted model, not a curated record.
UUGGAGGAGUGUGACUGGCUGAUGGAUGGAGCUGCAGAGCCUCAGACAGGGCAGUGCUGCCAGAAGCUGGGGAAAGCGAGAAGGAGAUGUUUUGUUUACAUUGUCCUGUGUUUCAGAACUAUGGCAAAUGGACUGAGAGGGCUUGUUCACAGAUAGCAUCAGAGCUAUUACCAGGUGCCAAACCCAGUUGGAUCUGCUGAGGAAACUUCAUCAGUAAUCAUGGAUGCUGCAUCCUGCAGACCUGAUCUAUGAGUGGGAGCAUCACAGAAUUCAUUCUGAGAGGAGUGGAGGUGCAGGGCCUGUCACUUCAAAAGGUGCACUCAGGAAAGACCAGAGAUGGGUUGAGGUACAGCUAACUCUCUAACUGUGACAUCUGCCUAGGGAGACCUUUUAACCUUUAGAGGACAGGUUGCCCCAAUCCUGUCUCCUCUUUUCUUUGUCACAUUUAUAUUUCCAUUUCCUCGUCACAUUUAUAUUUCCAUUUCCUCCUUCCCCCUACCCAUUUUUGCAUAUCCCAGAACACGUGUUGUACAAUCCCCAUCUACGUGCACAGCUGUGGAGGUUCCUUCAGUGCACUGGAGGUUGGUUCUAGUGGGUGUCACCAGUCAGAGAGCUCCUGGACUAUAGCUGGCAGGGUUGGGUGGACCCUCCAAUGCUCACCCUGUGCAUGGGGCUGCUCCCCCACAUGUUCCUCUCUGUGUGCUUGAGGAGGUGAAGACUAUCCAGUUCCUUGCAGAUCCUGGGAAGGAAUCCUCUGAAGCUUGACAUUAGGUCCCUAUCCUAUGAGCUCUCCUAGUUGCUUGCAAUGAAUUCACAUAGGCCAGCUUUCAUUCCAUGUUGCUUACAAAGCCUGCUUGGGACAUAAGUGGGUGCCACCUUCACAUAGCUGUGAGGAUGGGCAUAUUGUUGGCAUGGUUUACAGUCUCCUACCACCUGCCAUUUCGGCAGUGACUCGGAGAGGAAACCGUGGAGCAUGCUUCAUUCCUUAAAUCACACAUGUGGGCAGAGUUCCUUUAAGCAUUGUCCACUGAUUUCUUAGAGUCUCUCUCCAAACAGUGGGCAUUAUCCAGGGUUCUCUGCUCGGUGGCCUCCUCUGGUUCCCUCAUUCUGACCCUAUGACUUGCACUCCUGUUCUCGCAUACUUUGUCCCCCAUGAUUAAUUGAUCCUUGUUCCUCUAUAGCUUGCCUCUCCCUGCCUUUUGUCAAGGGAGGAGCCCCUUUGGCCCCACCCAUCCCUACAGGGAUCAGAUAGUCGGGCAACUUCAUGAGCAGUCAGUUCACAUUAUAUUAAAAAAACAAACAGACAGACAAAAACCCUAUUGUUACCAGAAUACCAGGAUUAUCGAGGAGAACGACGUGCCAUACUGAAAUUACAAAUGGAUGAUUUAGAGCGAGCAGCCUACUUUUACAAAAGAAACCUGUUACAUCAUAUUCAUUUAUUUUGUAGUUCAUGACAAUAAUCAGUUCUGCACCCUUGUUAGAUAUGUGACAAAAGCGCUCAAGAAGAUGAAAAUUACUCUGCAGUUCACCAGCAUGAAAAGCCAUCUGGGCUAGUUGUCUUCCAGACUAUCUUCCUGCUGUGCUAACUCCACCCACAAAUUAUAACUCACUAAUAAGGAACAUGGUGGGGCCGUGAAAGUUACUUAAAAAAAAAGCCCCAUUAAUCACAGUAGCAGCCAAGAUACAUUCAAUGUGAAAGUUAAAGUUUAAACCUGUAGGGUCAGAUUCUGCCAAGCUACUCACACUGCAUAGUCCCUUACUGCAUGAGGAAAGAAAUGCAACUUCUCCCAGAGGGAGGUACUACUUAACAUGAAUAAUGGGGGCAGAAUCUGGGCCAUCCUCAGGUGAAUUAUAUUUCAGUCUGCUGGACGGGUGCCUGUUGGCAUGUUUACAAAUUGAAAUAAAUAAACUAUAACCAAUUAGUUAUUGAAAGUGCAGUCAGACUUAUCUGAUGCCAUUUACCUCCUCUAUGGCUGUAUUGUGACUAUUCUGAAGAUUAAAUAACAGAUGUGAAGGAAACAUUUAGUUUUUUGCCAGAUCAUUUUUCAGUAACCAAUAAUUCCUUACUUUAGUGCUCAUUUAAUGGUCUCACCUUCUUUUUUUUGUCCAAUAAAGUUAAUGAAUCUCUUAUUGCUUUUCUAAAUAGCCUUAGCUAAAUUAUUCAUUUUUCCUGUUUGUGAAUACAUUCUUUACAUCCUAUAGAAAUUAACAAUGCUACAAUAUUUUGAUUGCUGUGACUAAAGAGCUUUGAUUUUACUGGCAAUUAACUUUAACUGCUUAUCACUUGUUCACACUGGUCUUGAAGGUCGGUUCAGUUUUGUGUGGCAGGAAACACUCCUCUUGAAUCAACUCUGCUAUCACUUUACCAUUUAAAUGCCUGCUAAUGAAUGUUGCCAGUUCAUUUAACUUCAGUUAACCCUCAAAUUUAACCUUUUAAAGAAAUUUAAUUAAAUCUCUUUGUGCACCCCAAUUUUUUCCACUGGUUAAAAUUGAGAACUGUAUUGAACUGUGAUCACAAUUUCCCAAAUCAUCCUCACUAGGUGUUUUAUUUAGCAUAUCUUCACUGGCUCAUAUUUAGUCCAAAAUGGCUAGUUGACUCAAAGACAUAACUAAUUUUAGAAAAUAGAUUCUCUACAAUACAACUUCUAUUCUGUUCUUACUGAUCUGUGAUAAACUUCUAACUGUGACUCCUAGCCUGCUAGGAUUAACUAUCUUUAGUGUCUCUUAUAAGAUUUCAGCAGCUUUCUUUAGUAAAGAUUUCCUAUAAAAACACUUGACCUUUGCCUCUUAAUACUUCAAUCCAAAUUGCCUCAACAAUUCCUCUUAUUUAAACAACAAAAAAAACCCCAAACCACCCCUAUCCCUCAGCUGUAAUUUAUCAUCACUAUCAUAGACUGCAACUUCACCCCCUUCCUCCUGUGUCUCAUUAAUAUUUUCAAAUAUCUAACCUAACUCUACCCAUCACCCACCUAAUUUAGUAAUUCCUACAGGGUGAACCAUGUCGGCUCCUGCACUGGUACACUAGUAGGAGGAAAGGGUGCAGGUAUCCUGGAUUCAUCCUCAGGAAUAGGGUAAAAAAGAGGUGUGCCUUCUAGCGAUGUUACUGGGUGACCUCAGUAGCAGUCACACCUGUAACUGACAGCAGAAAUUAACAGCAUAGCUUUUGUAUUCCCAAUCCCAAGGGGAUGAAUAGAAUUAAAAAAAAACACUUAAGAAUGUUUCUUAAUUUUUGGCUUCCACAAAUAGUGAAAACUGUAUAUGGCACUUGAGAGGAAAUCACUUACCACCAAUUCCCUUCAAAACGCAAGAAGUCUGCUCUUUCACUUAUAAUUGCCAGUUAGAGAAAAUAAAUUGGAGUACAGACAAAACAUUUGCUCCAAUGAAUUACAAUAGCAUUUGAUAGCAGUUACAACCUUCAGAUAAGUCAGGUUUGGUCAGGUAGGUCACCUACAGUAUAUAUUUCACAGAGUCUUUUGCUGCAACUGUAAAGUAAUUUCAUUUAUUUUUGAGAGGAAAAAAGCAAUUUGACCUAUCUAAACUGAUAUAACCCCUGAUGGGAGAAAUGCCUAAUAAGUUUAUCAGUUACCUAGGGUAGCAGAUGAUGGGGAUAGAAUAAAUAGGAAUCACAUUUACAGUUGAGUUCACCUUUGGUGCAUGUACUUUUGUUUAGUUUAUUUAAGUUUUAUAUAUCUUUCUACAGAUGUUACGCAAUGCAAUAUAAUGAAGAUAAACUCUUUGGCCCUGAUUGAGUCUCAUUUCUUUUAAGGCCCCUUUAAACUGCUAGAGAAGUGUAAAUGGAUAUUAAUGAGAAUGAGAAUCAGUCCCUUUAUCUUAAAAUUAAGGGUUUGGUGGGUAGGUUUUUUUAAAUUUACAUUUAUAAAGCAUAUUUCCUGCCAAAAUGCUUUUCAGCCUGUAUAACACACCACUGCUGAAAUACAUAACAGCUGGAGAGGAAAACAUGAGACACAUGGAGCAUAAUAUAACUUCAGUAAAAGAAGAAAAAGUUUUGGGCAAGGAAAUUGGUGUAAACCAUUAAUCUUAGGAAAGGGCUUAUGAGAUCUUUGCAAUUCACAUAGUAAAGACAGGGCUGCAGCUUUAAGGCCUCAUAAAAGACCAAAAUAUAUUAAAUUGCAUGCCAGUUUAGUCUGUCACCUCAGAAGGAGUAAGGGCUAAGUCAGUCCUGUCAGGAUUUGAACCUAUAGUUCAAGGGAGUGUGGUGAUCCUUAGACUGCUGCUUUAUCACUUUAUAUUAUGGCUGGAUAAACCAUUUUAUCAGACCAAAUAACAAACAUUGAUAUACUCUUGCAUCCAAAUCCUUAAUCAUAAAAAGAGUUUUCAGGCAGAGUCCUCAAUCGAUAGAGGAUUUUUUCUCAGAGUGCUGUGUAUAAAAAAAAGUUCAUAUUAUUGUGUAGCUAUCUUUUUGCAUAUCUACCUUUAUAUCUAUCCAUCCAUUCAUCUGUCCAAUUCAAUCCAAAUCCUAGUAACUGGGUCAGUUUUCUGCAGUGGCUUCUUGGUGAAUUAGAAAAUGAAAAAGCAGACAACAUUCUCCCCCCCCCCCCCAAAAAAAAACAAAAAAAAACAAAAAAACAAAACAAAACACAAACCAACCAAUCAAACACCAUUCAAUCAUAUUUGGUUUUGGUGCAUAAAUAUUUUACUUGGUGAGGGAACUGGGUUUUUCACCAGCUUUCUCAACCUAAAACAUUUUUAAAAAUUUUUGAUUUUCUCCCUUUCACUGGAGGGAAUCAAACUGGUUAACCCUAGCAUUCCAAUACAAAUAUAAUAUAAAAGUUGUCAAUAUUUUGAAUGUAUAGAUGAAUGUGAGCAAACACUUUUAUGCUCAGAAAUGAUGAUCAAACAAUUAAUAUUCUAAUAAAUAUAUGAGAAAUGCUGGAGUCUCUUUCUGCUCUGUACUGUGCCUCAGAAAGGAGAAAGUAACGUUGCACUUUUACUUAAUCCACACUGGAAUAGCUAUAUGGAGGUGACAGCAGUUCUCUUUGCUUUUGCAUUUGCUUUUUAAGGAUUUCUUUCAUCUAUGACAUGACAUUAAAUUCUUUGGACCAAGAAAUAUAGGUCCUGAUUCUCCAUAGCCCUGUACUUUGUGUAGUCAUUUACACCAAGGUGAGGUGAUUGCACAGUAGAUGUAAAAUGCUACCAAAUCAGAAUGGUACCAUUUAACACCCAUUUUGCCCUGGUGUAAAUGUGAGUCAGACCUACAGGAGACAGAAGGUGCCUCAAAAAAUUCUCUUUACAGAGUACCCUAGGAAGCAUUCCUCAAGUCGGAGAAGGUUUGGGAGCCUGGAAAUUUUGCAGGGAGACAGGCCUUCCAGGCUCAGAGAUCCACAAAGUUUAUGACAAAGGGACUCCUCCUCUGCUCUGCAAAGGUUAAAGCUAUCCUGUAUAUACUACUGCUCCUUUCAGCUGGCCCCCCAUCCCUAUGGCUCCAGUUUGCCACAAACAGUUUGCUAAGCAAUGCUCUAAUUGAUUGCAGUGGGUCUUACAGAAUUGAUCAGUAAUGUCCACAUUUCUAAUUUGUUACCAUUCCCCUCUCUUAGGGCUCUUUCCUUUGACAACCUAAUGAAAGGAAAGCAGUAGCUAGGAGACAAUUAUAAACAGCAGCACAUUAGGCAAGUCUGCAUAUUUUCCCCUUUGUGAAUAGUAUGUUUUGAGUUCACAAACGUUCCCCUCUGACUCCAAUACAUGUAAAUGAGGAAUAUUGAUGACAGUGUAAACCCUUUCCGGCUGAAACUCGCUCCAGCUGAAAAGAUAUUGAUGUGAUGCCAAAAUUUUAACACAUUACCCUUAAAUUGUUCUACCUUAAUCUGCGAUGCUGUUGUUCAUCAUUGUACUGUGAUAGUGCCUAGCUGCCCCACUCAUGGGACACAUACUAGGCAUAAAAGAAACAUGUAACAAAGAGAUCCCACCUUGAAGAGCUUACAAUCUAAGUAGCACAAUCUGUGACCAGCAAUAUAUAUGACAUCCCCUCAGUAAAAAUACUCUUCCCUCUGUCUGUUAAAAAAAUACAUGCCACUGAUUGGUCAGGUAGGGAGUGGGUCCCCUUUGCUUUUUGCAGGGGGCAGGUCUCCUCUGACUAAAGGUGGUCUACCCUGCCUGAUGCAGUGUUGCUAACCUUUGAAUCACAAGUAAUGUGAUUUUGGCCCCUUGCUCAAGCCAGUCUCCAGCCAUAAAACUCCCACAAUUUCCAUCCUAGCAUGGGGGAAAUCCCCCAGGAUUGGCUGCCCUCCCCACUUCUCUGCCUCCUGGGUAUGACUCAGGCACAGCUCUCAUUCCACACUUACCCCAAAGUCCUCUCUGCUCCUGAGGUGGGUAGGUAAGGGGGGAAGGGGGAGAGGCCAACAUCAUUCUCACGAGAGGAGUGGGGGAGGAGGAAAAUGUCCAGCAGUUCAGGGUGGCACUGCUCCCUCCUCCCCAUCUGUGAAAAAUGGCUCAGGAGGACUCCACUCUCUUCUCCUCCCCUUUCCGUUCCUGCACCACAAGGCUUUGGAAGAAAAGGUGAAGAAUGCAAUGAAAUGUACUCCAUGCAGGCCUGGAAAGGGGUAGAAGAGGACCUUAUUGCAGCUGCUCUCUGGGCCUGGAGAGAGGGGAAAUGGUCUGGGAUGUCCCUCUGCUUUCUCUCUCCCAGAUAUUGUCUGCUCCCCAACACCAUCUUUCUCUCUCCCUCAGUGUCUGCUUCAGUUAUUUUCUAGCCUCCCUCUACUAUCCCUAGACACAGAGAAUGGUGUAAAAGGCCACCUAAACUACCUCCUCUGGCCUUAAAGUCAGACCUAAAAUCUUCUGACAUGGGAGGAACUGAGAAACACACCUUGUUGGUCCAUUCCCAGACCAUUUUAAGUAAGCUAUCUUCCACUAAUAUAAUGCAUUCAGAAAUGGGUAGCUGGUCAUUAGGGACUAAUAGGGCUAAAACCCACUAAUAAUGUCAUGGUAGUGUGACUGAUGUUCUACAGGGUGCAGAACUGCCCAUUUCCAUUGGAGGACUACUGGUGCAGCUGGUGAGCCCUUAACCCCACCACUACCCACUGAAUAGAAGAAACCUCCUCCUCUAGCCUCUUCUUUGCCUGAGCCAGGAGAAAGCCUUAUCCCACCCCACCCUCUCUCUUCAGUAGUAUCAUCAUACCCCCAAAAUGAGAUUUUAAAAUAAAUCUCAUGAUUUUGAGACCAAUUUGUCCUUUUUUGGGGGGAGGGGGGCUGUCUUUUGAUUUUUGAACUCCCUCUGCCCCUCCCAGUGUAUGGAGCAGUUACAGUGGUGCCAACUCUCCCAGAUAUAGAGUAAAGUGAUUCUCACCCCCUGCUGCAGGAGCUCUUACCAUGUGCCUGAUGGUACAGAGCUUCCAACCUCAAAAUUCUAAUAAUUCUAUGCCCCCUUUGGCCCAUCUCUCAGCUCAGCAAUUAAUUAUACACCUUCCCAACCCCACUUCUGCAGCUCCAGAGGAGUUCUUCACCUUCCCAGCCAGCACACACAGAGGAUUGGGCUUAUUAGACCCAGUUGGGGAGGAUUCCGAGACUGAUUAGUUGACUGGGUGAGUGACUCAAAAAGAGGAUCUAAGUUCAGUCAACUGGGGAGUUGCUUUAAGCCAGGAAGUAUCUUAAAACAGGAGGGAACUUUUAGUGCACUGUAGCAGGGUCCAUAAGGAGAGUUAGUGCAUGGCAGGCUAGUGCAAGGUACAUUUACCCCACAUCUUGCUGCAAAUUAAGUGAUUGAGUAGACAAGCCCUGAGAGGAAGAACUCAGCUAGGACACAAGCUGCAAGGAAGAGCGCUAUGAAUCCCUGAACCCAAGGGGACAGUCUACAGAACAGCCUGGGCAGGAUUAGAAACAGAGCCUCAAGAAGGAGUGUGAAACCCCUGAACUGGAAAGAGGCUUGGGAAGUCAAAACUAAAAGCACAAAGCCCUCCAAAAACGAGGGCCAUGAAGACCUUGAACUGGUGGGGAGAGUUACAAGCUAGGAAAGCCACAGCUUGAAACAUUCAGCCCCAGGAAGAGGGCCUGGGAAACCCUAAAUCUAAAAAAUGCACCCUUUAUGGGCAGAGCUAGUUAAUCUGAUUAGAUUAGCCCCAAAGGAGGGGGCAUAUUAGUCUUAAAGACUCUGGGUAUAAGUGGGCUAUUCUCACAAUGAAUGAGGGAGAGUGAGGCAGGGUUCCUGCCGGGCCAUCCCUUGCCAUGAGAGGGUGUAUGCAAUAUUCCUACGUAUGCUAUUUUAAUAUUUUAUAUUAUAAUUUAUAUAGGACUGUAUGUGUACAUAAUAAAAUCAAAGCCAAAUAAAAGCACAAAGGGUUGUGAUGAUAUAAAAUCAGUUAUGGAAUCUGUUUUAUAAUGAAACUGUGUUAUAGGCAGUGCAGGUAAUGACAGCUAUAGUUUAGGUUGCAUAACACUUUCCAUUAUAAGACCCUCUUUUUCAGUUGCUUAUAAUUUUGCCUAACUUUAGACCAUUCAGGCUAACGUUUUCCAGGCUACGUCUCUGCCUAUGGCUGAUUUUUUUAAAGUUCCAGCUUAAAAUAGAUCAGCCAUUUCUCAGAGAUUAGUGGGAAUAUGGUGUUUUGCCCAUAUUAAAAAAAAUACAACUGUUUUGUAGAGAUGUUACAGUGCCUCUGUGUUUUAGAGCAAAGGUUUGAAGUUUGGCAGGGGGCACCCCUGUUUCUGGGAAUACGCCUGCUACAUCUUUGUAUAAUUUUUCUUAAAUUUGCCUAAGUUAUAAGCCUCUGAAAAAAACACAGUUUGCACAUGCUCAGUAGAGAUUUGUUAGUAUUUGACAGCUAAAGAUUCCAUCCCCUCUUGACUACCUUAUGCCAAUUGGACUGUUCAUAUGCCAUCCCUGGUGAGUGACUGAGCAUGCUCCAUCCCAGCACUGCAGGACUGAGCUCCUCCUGGGUACUGCACACCACUGUGGCACCAGAACUGAGAACAAAGAGAGUGUUCUUAAUGGUUCCCCUUCUCACAUUCAGAAGAAAGAGGGAGAAGCCUGACCUGAAUGAAGGAUGGAGAGCAAGGGAGUGGGGGGAAGAGAUUCAGGGCAGGAGGACAGAGGUAGGAGUUCAGGAAGGAAGAGUGAUAGGAGUAGGAGCUGGGAUGGGGGAAAAGAAGCAGGAAGCAUCGGCAACGAAGGGAUAGUUGAGAACAAGUAGGGGGCAGGAGCAUGGAAGAAUAGGAACAGAGAGGGAAGGGACUGGAUGGAAGAGAAGAUAAAUAUAGGAGCAGGGAGUGGUGAGGACAGAAUUUGGAGCAGAAGGAGAAACAGGCAGGGAAUGGGAAAAGGAGCAGAGGGAGGAGGGCAGUGGGGGAAUAAUGGUGUGGGAACAGGGACAGGAUCUGGGGAGAUAGAAACAGAGGGGACAGUGAGUAGAAUCCUGAGGUCUGAUUUACAGAAGUGCUGAAUAGAAGCUUUGCUUAGGCCCUUAGGGUCUCAAAUUGGGCUCCAAAUGUAGUACUUUGGUAAUUUCUAUCUUGAUCUAUGUGUCUUAUUUGCUAUGUUGAAAUGGAGGUAAUAUAUCAUUUUACCUCACAGCCUGAUGGUGAAGGUAAAUUCAUUCAGGUUUUUCAAGAACUAAGUCAUGAUGGUGAGACCUGCAUAGAAAAGCCCAUGAGGAAAUGAAUAAUUCCAUAUGCAGUGCUGGCAGGGCUGAUUCUAGAGACAGGUGAGCAGGGUGGCCACCCUAAUUGCUAACUUCCAGGUGGGCCCCAUACCUCUUCACUGCUUGACCUCCUCCACACACCUGCAGCCACUCAUGGGAGAUGGGGUGGAGGCAGCACUGAAAACAUUUUCCUCGUCCGGCAAAUCAGCUGGGGCUGCUCUUGAGUGUAGGGUUUGGAUGGUGCCCAGUAAUUAUGCAUACAGCCAUACUUAGAAUGAUGAGGAUAAAAAGAAACAUUGAGCUUCCCAUUCAGUCAGCACCACCUAUCCUAUGCACUGAAUGAGGCAGGGGUCCUGUGCUAAAAAUUGUAUGUGAUCAUGAUAAAGAGUGUAUCAUAGUGUAUAAAACAUAAUAGGUCCAAUUAAGCAACUUUUGAAAGCUGGAUUUUGCCAUUUUAACAUUUUCUUAAUUCAUUUUUUGUGGGGUGGAAUAGGGCUGCAGAAUAUUGUUACUAAAUGCUGCAGUGUUCAAACAACAAGUGUGUGUCCAGCUUAUAUUUUUUUAAAAUAAAACUACUUCCUUUUGGGUCUGGGUCUGUUCCCAUUGCAGUCAAUGGCAAAACUCCCAUUGAUUUAAAUUAAGCUCUUUAUGGGGCUCCCUAGUGCAUUGUGGUUUAUAUGGUUAUCAGGACCACCUGAUUAAAAAUGCAAGUUUUGAAUUGUGCUGUUUUCAGUACAUUAUACCUUAAGAAGGGGUUUUUGUUUGUUUGUUUUUACUAGUUAUGUCCUUUCUGAAUAUAAGUGGCAGGUUUUUUCUUUAAAAAUACUGUGUUUUGUUAUCUUGUACUAUGGUGAUGAUCAUGCCUAUGGCAUACUUUGCUGCUUCAGCCUAAAGAAGAAGAAGAAUAUUAGAGAAAUAUUAGCUUGUUUUCUUAUUAUUUUUCUGAGCAUAUAAAGCACAAUGCUAAAUACAGAUUUUAAACCAUUUAUGUUGUCAAAUUCAAGUGAAUUAAUAAAGCUCUCA